RNAcentral lists this ribosomal RNA (482 nucleotides) under uncultured bacterium. RNAcentral's name for it is "partial 16S ribosomal RNA". It matches the Rfam family "Bacterial small subunit ribosomal RNA", at positions 30 to 507 of the family's 1533-position model. The record is from RNAcentral.
AUUGAACGCUGGCGGCAUGCUUUACACAUGCAAGUCGAACGGUAACAGCACUUCGGUGGCUGACGAGUGGCGAACGGGUGAGUAAUACAUCGGAACGUGCCUAGUAGUGGGGGAUAACUACUCGAAAGAGUAGCUAAUACCGCAUGAGAUCUAAGGAUGAAAGCAGGGGACCUUCGGGCCUUGCGCUACUAGAGCGGCUGAUGGCAGAUUAGGUAGUUGGUGGGAUAAAAGCUUACCAAGCCGACGAUCUGUAGCUGGUCUGAGAGGACGACCAGCCACACUGGGACUGAGACACGGCCCAGAAUCCUACGGGAGGCAGCAGUGGGGAAUUUUGGACAAUGGGCGCAAGCCUGAUCCAGCAAUGCCGCGUGCAGGAUGAAGGCCUUCGGGUUGUAAACUGCUUUUGUACGGAACGAAAAGCCCUCUUCUAAUACAGGAGGGUCAUGACGGUACCGUAAGAAUAAGCACCGGCUAACUACGUG